GACGAACGCUGGCGGCGUGCCUAAUACAUGCAAGUUGAGCGCUGAAGGUUGGUACUUGUACCAACUGGAUGAGCAGCGAACGGGUGAGUAACGCGUGGGGAAUCUGCCUUUGAGCGGGGGACAACAUUUGGAAACGAAUGCUAAUACCGCAUAAAAACUUUAAACACAAGUUUUAAGUUUGAAAGAUGCAAUUGCAUCACUCAAAGAUGAUCCCGCGUUGUAUUAGCUAGUUGGUGAGGUAAAGGCUCACCAAGGCGAUGAUACAUAGCCGACCUGAGAGGGUGAUCGGCCACAUUGGGACUGAGACACGGCCCAAACUCCUACGGGAGGCAGCAGUAGGGAAUCGUCGGCAAGGGACGAAAGUCUGACCGAGCAACGCCGAGUGAGUGAAGAAGGUUGUCGGAUCGUAAAACUCUGUUGGUAGAGAAGAACGUUGGUGAGAGUGGAAAGCUCAUCAAGUGACGGUAACUACCCAGAAAGGGACGGCUAACUACGUG
This 497-nucleotide ribosomal RNA is filed under the name uncultured bacterium. RNAcentral describes it as "partial 16S ribosomal RNA". It matches the Rfam family "Bacterial small subunit ribosomal RNA", at positions 28 to 507 of the family's 1533-position model. The record is from RNAcentral.